AGUGAACGCUGGCGGUAGGCCUAACACAUGCAAGUCGAACGGCAGCACAGUAAGAGCUUGCUCUUACGGGUGGCGAGUGGCGGACGGGUGAGGAAUACAUCGGCAUCUACUUUUUCGUGGGGGAUAACGUAGGGAAACUUACGCUAAUACCGCAUACGACCUACGGGUGAAAGCAGGGGAUCUUCGGACCUUUCGCGAUUGAAUGAGCCGAUGUCGGAUUAGCUAGUUGGUGGGGUAAAGGCCCACCAAGGCGACGAUCCGUAGCUGGUCUGAGAGGAUGAUCGGCCACACUGGAACUGAGACACGGUCCAGACUCCUACGGGAGGCAGCAGUGGGGAAUAUUCGACAAUGGGCGAAAGCCUGAUCCAGCCAUACCGCGUGGGUGAAGAAGGCCUUCGGGUUGUAAAGCCCUUUUGUUGGGGAAGAAAAGCAGCAGGUUAAUACCCCGCUGUUCUGACGGUACCCAAAGAAUAAGCACCGGCUAACUUCGUG
RNAcentral lists this ribosomal RNA (492 nucleotides) under uncultured bacterium. Its description in RNAcentral is "partial 16S ribosomal RNA". It matches the Rfam family "Bacterial small subunit ribosomal RNA", at positions 29 to 507 of the family's 1533-position model. The record is from RNAcentral.